GACGAACGCUGGCGGCGUGCUUAACACAUGCAAGUCGAACGGAAAGGCCCUGCUUUUGUGGGGUGCUCGAGUGGCGAACGGGUGAGUAACACGUGAGUAACCUGCCCUUGACUUUGGGAUAACUUCAGGAAACUGGGGCUAAUACCGGAUAGGAGCUCCUGCUGCAUGGUGGGGGUUGGAAAGUUUCGGCGGUUGGGGAUGGACUCGCGGCUUAUCAGCUUGUUGGUGGGGUAGUGGCUUACCAAGGCUUUGACGGGUAGCCGGCCUGAGAGGGUGACCGGCCACAUUGGGACUGAGAUACGGCCCAGACUCCUACGGGAGACAGCAGUGGGGAAUAUUGCACAAUGGGCGGAAGCCUGAUGCAGCAACGCCGCGUGCGGGAUGACGGCCUUCGGGUUGUAAACCGCUUUCGCCUGUGACGAAGCGUGAGUGACGGUAAUGGGUAAGAAGCACCGGCUAACUACGUG
This 467-nucleotide ribosomal RNA is filed under the name uncultured bacterium. Its description in RNAcentral is "partial 16S ribosomal RNA". It matches the Rfam family "Bacterial small subunit ribosomal RNA", at positions 28 to 507 of the family's 1533-position model. The record is from RNAcentral.